RNAcentral lists this ribosomal RNA (253 nucleotides) under uncultured bacterium. Its description in RNAcentral is "partial 16S ribosomal RNA". It matches the Rfam family "Bacterial small subunit ribosomal RNA", at positions 524 to 776 of the family's 1533-position model. The record is from RNAcentral.
UACGUAGGGUGCGAGCGUUAAUCGGAAUUACUGGGCGUAAAGCGUGCGCAGGCGGUCCGCAAAGUCUGAUGUGAAAGCCCCGGGCUCAACCUGGGAACUGCAUUGGAAACUAACGGGCUUGAGUGUGGCAGAGGGGGGUGGAAUUCCACGUGUAGCAGUGAAAUGCGUAGAGAUGUGGAGGAACACCGAUGGCGAAGGCAGCCCCCUGGGCUAACACUGACGCUCAGGCACGAAAGCGUGGGGAGCAAACAGG